AAAAGCGGUGGAAAGUUCAAUAGAUGGAGUACGUUGCGGGGCAGAGGGAAUUUCCUGGUGUAGCGCUGAAGAUGAGUAGAGAUCAGGAAGAACACCGGUGGGGGAAAGCGCUCUUCCUAGGCCUGUACUGACACUGAGGGACGAAAGCUAGGGGAGCGAAAAGGAUUAGAUACCCCAGUAGUCCUAGCCGUAAAAGAUGAAUACUAGGCGUGGCUGGUAUCGACCCGAGCCGUGCCGGAGCUAACGCGUUAAGUAUCCCGCCUGGGGAGUACGCACGCAAGUGUGAAACUCAAAGGAAUUGACGGGGGCCCGCACAAGCGGUGGAGUAUGUGGUUUAAUUUGAUGCAACGCGAAGAACCUUUCCACGCCUUGACAAGUCGCGAACCUCUCCAAAAAGAGAGGGGUCCUUAGAAAAGACGAACACAGCAGGUGCAGGACGGUUGUCAUCAGGUGUCGUGAGAAGAUGGGGGAAGUAGUCCAACGAGGACAACCCUCGUUGUCAGUAGCCAGCACAUAGAUGGGCACUCUAGAGAGA
RNAcentral lists this ribosomal RNA (535 nucleotides) under Anabaena sphaerica MBDU105. RNAcentral describes it as "bacterial SSU rRNA". It matches the Rfam family "Bacterial small subunit ribosomal RNA", at positions 619 to 1148 of the family's 1533-position model. The record is from RNAcentral. Lineage: Bacteria; Bacillati; Cyanobacteriota; Cyanophyceae; Nostocales; Nostocaceae.